GCCUGGGUGGCUCAGUCGGUUGGGCGUCCGACUUCGGCUCAGGUCAUGAUCUCACGGUUCGUGGGUUCGAGCCCCGCAUCGGGCU
This is a transfer RNA of Felis catus (domestic cat), 85 nucleotides long. It matches the Rfam family "tRNA". From Rfam's summary of the family: Transfer RNA (tRNA) molecules are approximately 80 nucleotides in length. NCBI's taxonomy places the organism in Eukaryota, Metazoa, Chordata, Mammalia, Carnivora, Felidae. The record is from Rfam.